GACGAACGCUGGCGGCGUGCUUAACACAUGCAAGUCGAACGGAAAGGCCCUGCUUGCAGGGUACUCGAGUGGCGAACGGGUGAGUAACACGUGGGUGAUCUGCCCUUCACUUCGGGAUAAGCCUGGGAAACUGGGUCUAAUACCGGAUAGGAGCCAUUUUUAGUGUGAUGGUUGGAAAGUUUUUUCGGUGUAGGAUGAGCUCGCGGCCUAUCAGCUUGUUGGUGGGGUAAUGGCCUACCAAGGCGGCGACGGGUAGCCGGCCUGAGAGGGUGGACGGCCACAUUGGGACUGAGAUACGGCCCAGACUCCGACGGGAGGCAGCAGUGGGGAAGAUUGCACAAUGGGCGCAAGCCUGAUGCAGCGACGCCGCGUGGGGGAUGACGGCCUUCGGGUUGUAAACUCCUUUCGCUAGGGACGAAGCUUUUUGUGACGGUACCUAGAUAAGAAGCACCGGCUAACUACGUG
RNAcentral lists this ribosomal RNA (465 nucleotides) under uncultured bacterium. Its description in RNAcentral is "partial 16S ribosomal RNA". It matches the Rfam family "Bacterial small subunit ribosomal RNA", at positions 28 to 507 of the family's 1533-position model. The record is from RNAcentral.